CAAGCUAAGGCUUGUUUAUAGCCACGGUGGUGUUUCUUUCUCCCACCUUUCAUGAGAUGCCAGAUUCUCACUUGCGUUGUCCUUCAUCGCCUCCGCUUCCCUCGCCCUGUGUUGCAUCUAUACCCAUAUGGAAAUAGCACCUGUUUUCAUCCCUAACAAAUAUGAGAAUGGCCAGCAGGGAAGAGAUCAGAGUUUAGUGAAGGGCCUGAUAGAUGAAGUAUUUCAAGUACAAAAGGACUGUCUCCAGAACUCCUAACAUGGAGAGUUGAAGCAUCAGUGAAGUACCAUCAUGAACGGAUGCGUUUAUCUCCUCCAAACUAGCUGGUGUCUCCAGUCUUUCUGGAUGCACAGCACGAAAACCAAAAAUCAAGCAGUUAUUCCAACUUUUCCUAGAAGGUGAAAGCUUGUGAAACCAGAAGACCAAGAAUGGAAUUCUUUGCAAGAUUACCUAGUACUCUGAAAUAAAACGAAAGCGGAAGCAUUUAAAAAUGAAAGAAAAAUAAAUCUAAAGUUGGGUUUCCUUUAGAAAGAAAAACAUCUGUGUCUUCUUCUAAUGGUGUUAUAAUUGCACACUAAUUCUGCACAAGUAAUUCUAGCAGCUACUUUACAACUGUUUUAAUUGGUGACAAUUCAUUUCCUACUUGAUUAAUAAAAACAUUAACAUUUUUAUUGGCUUGGGAGAUGUAUGAGGAAAAUACACAGAAAACCAGGAGGUUUGCACCGUUAAGCCUCUAAGUAUGUUAAUAAGGGUAAUUGUAUGACAUUAUAUUGCUGAGCUGUUCUUUAACAUGAUGUGUUUUGGUAGGUUCAUGUUCACAAGGAAAAAUAGCUGUCACAAAAUUGCUGGUGUGAGUAAGUCAUGAAAGAUAGACCAGCGACACUAUAGCACCCUCAAGUCUAUCUCAUCUUGUAGACAUUUAAAAAGGAAAAAAAAUGGAGAGGAGAGUAAAUUCAUAUUUUCACAUCUUAGGUCAAAUAAUCAAGUAAUACUAUGAACUGGUCUCAAUGAUGUGAAGGUCAGUAAAUGUAAACAGCUAUUGUAAUAAAUGAAACUUUUGUCUAUGUUCAUUCAUUCAUUCAUUCAUUCAUCCAUUGUCAUUUAGUCCUGACUUCAUUAAUUCAACAAACAUUUUUUAUUUCAUAUAGUAGGCAUAGCUUCUAUAUCUGCAGAAUUUUCCAGUCAGCCCCUUUCAUAGGCAUCAGGUUCUCGGGCUAAUUAUGUUUUAAUCGUGGUCUUCCCCUGAUGGGUCCAGAAAUCACAUGGGUGAGAUCAUCUCAUCCAACUCAUAACUUACAACCUUAUCCAAAUCAAACCGUUAUUAACUCACUUUCCUCCUAUGAGAUUCAGACAUACAUGUCUUAAUUAGUGGUUGGGUUUUUCCACAGAUAUCUCUACAUGGUCAAGUUGAGUGUGUAAUGUCCCUCCCCUCAAACCUGUUCCACUUCCUGUGAUUGUCACCUUGUCUACAAAUAUAAUAAUAUGACCCAGUGUGGCCAUUUAUUCUUUUUCAUCCUUUUCACUCCAUACAUGUAAUGCUAUGAUGCUAUUGUUACUAAAAGACACAGAAAGAUCUGGAGGUUUUGUUUAGCACUAGUGAAAUGAGUCUUGUGUGUGGUGACAUUUUCUCCAGUUUUCCUAAGAGUGUGGAAUGUCUCAAAAACUUUCAUUCUGGUCUGUCUGUGAUUUGCCCCAACCCCUGGCACAAUCACCGAAGUCAGUUGGUCCUCUUCGUCAUGAUCCUUCUAACGUUUUCUGGCACUCUGUUUUCCGUCAAAGGAUCACCUGGGUGUAACAGGAAGAAGAAUAUUAAGUUGCCCUGAGAAACUUGUUG
Molecule: long non-coding RNA, 1832 nt
Organism: Peromyscus californicus insignis
Lineage: Eukaryota; Metazoa; Chordata; Mammalia; Rodentia; Cricetidae
Exons: 3
Source: RefSeq, a predicted model, not a curated record